Molecule: ribosomal RNA, 414 nt
Filed under: Enterococcus faecalis
Lineage: Bacteria; Bacillati; Bacillota; Bacilli; Lactobacillales; Enterococcaceae
Description: bacterial SSU rRNA
Rfam family: Bacterial small subunit ribosomal RNA
Source: RNAcentral
GACGAACGCGGCGGCGUGCCUAAUACAUGCAAGUCGAACGCUUCUUUCCUCCCGAGUGCUUGCACUCAAUUGGAAAGAGGAGUGGCGGACGGGUGAGUAACACGUGGGUAACCUACCCAUUAGAGGGGGAUAACACUUGGAAACAGGUGCUAAUACCGCAUAACAGUUUAUGCCGCAUGGCAUAAGAGUGAAAGGCGCUUUCGGGUGUCGCUGAUGGAUGGACCCGCGGUGCAUUAGCUAGUUGGUGAGGUAACGGCUCACCAAGGCCACGAUGCAUAGCCGACCUGAGAGGGUGAUCGGCCACACUGGGACUGAGACACGGCCCAGACUCCUACGGGAGGCAGCAGUAGGGAAUCUUCGGCAAUGGACGAAAGUCUGACCGAGCAACGCCGCGUGAGUGAAGAAGGUUUUCGG